GAUGAACGCUGGCGGCGUGCCUAAUACAUGCAAGUCGAGCGAACGGACGAGAAGCUUGCUUCUCUGAUGUUAGCGGCGGACGGGUGAGUAACACGUGGAUAACCUACCUAUAAGACUGGGAUAACUUCGGGAAACCGGAGCUAAUACCGGAUGAUAUUUUGAACCGCAUGGUUCAAAAGUGAAAGACGGUCUUGCUGUCACUUAUAGAUGGAUCCGCGCUGCAUUAGCUAGUUGGUAAGGUAACGGCUUACCAAGGCAACGAUGCAUAGCCGACCUGAGAGGGUGAUCGGCCACACUGGAACUGAGACACGGUCCAGACUCCUACGGGAGGCAGCAGUAGGGAAUCUUCCGCAAUGGGCGAAAGCGUGACGGAGCAACGCCGCGUGAGUGAUGAAGGUCUUCGGAUCGUAAAACUCUGUUAUUAGGGAAGAACAUAUGUGUAAGUAACUGUGCACAUCUUGACGGUACCUAAUCGGAAAGCCACGGCUAACUACGUG
RNAcentral lists this ribosomal RNA (497 nucleotides) under uncultured bacterium. Its description in RNAcentral is "partial 16S ribosomal RNA". It matches the Rfam family "Bacterial small subunit ribosomal RNA", at positions 28 to 507 of the family's 1533-position model. The record is from RNAcentral.